Molecule: long non-coding RNA, 671 nt
Organism: Felis catus (domestic cat)
Lineage: Eukaryota; Metazoa; Chordata; Mammalia; Carnivora; Felidae
Exons: 4
Source: RefSeq, a predicted model, not a curated record
GAAGACUGUGUGUCACGUGGCUUCCCUGCCCCCUGCGAGGGCCGCCUCUGACGCUCCUUGGGAAACCUUAGCUAGCCAUGGUCUCCUUCUCAGCAGAUGGUGCUCUGGUCCCUUAGAAAAGUGAAGGGAACUUCUUGACUUUUCUAUGCAGAGCUUGCAUCUUCUUGAACUUUACCUUCAAUUGCCAGCCGGUUACCCUACAGGCCCCUCUAGAGACUACACCCUUUUUAUUUUCUCCAGAACUACCACCAACCCUUACAGGACAUCAGGACAUCCUGGAAGGGGAAGAGAAGCAAGCUGAAGAGCAAGCCAGCCAGAGAGGAGUUGAAUCCUAAGCUAAUUGUAGGUCUCUGCUGCUGUCCUGGAAGCAUUUCUGCCCCCAUCCACCAUGAUAGGCAAACCCUCCCCAGAUGUAUCGGAAAUCUUCCACAGGAUCGGCUCUGGGACCAGAAUCCCAGUACCUACAAAGAAACCAACGGGAGGAACAAAGGAUAUGAAUGGAAAUGGACAGCUCGCUGACGCUUCAUAAGCACAAGGGGACUUGGAACUCAUUCUCUUGAAAUCUCACCCAUAAAAAUUUCCAAACUAUCUGACUCUAUUCUCUAAUUCACAGUUUAAAUCUGUUACAAAUAUCAGCCACAAAAAGACUUGUAAUUGCUUUCAUUCAAGGA